UCAUUUUGUUAGUAAAGAGAAUGAUCAUUUUAAUUCCAAUGGGCAUAAGUAUAUCAUGCACCACGGAGAGAUUGAUUUGGUUGCUCUUGAAAAUGAAAUUUCAGACCUCAAUGACAGACUGGAGGCACUUGAGGCAGAUCACGAUUUUCUUGAGCAUAGUCUGAACUCUCUUCAAAAUGGAGAUGAGGGGCUACAAUUUGUUCAGGAGAUAGCUCAUCAACUGCAAGAAUUGCGGAAAAUUGGGAUAAGAUUAAUAUGUUAAUCUGUUCCUUGACACGUAUCAUGACGUGGUGUAUACUAAAAUUGUUAUGAGGAAACAAGAAACGAAAAGUCAAUACUACAGGAACAUUUUCAGCCAGUUGUGGGGGGGUACAUAGACCAAAAUAUCAUGGCUCGUUUAUUCUCUGCUCACCUACAAACAUGAAAGAUUAAGAUAGGGUUUCAUGUACAGCUUCCACAUUAGAUUCUUGGAGAAACAAAAAAGGUAUAUAUUAGCAAACAGUGUUAUCAGGUAUGGAAGUGAUGUCUUCUAUUUCCUUUUGUGCCCUAUUGGGCCUUGUUUUAAGGAAGAGAUGUCGGGGUUAGUUUUUGUUAUAUCAAUGAUGAUGAGGUUGUAAAAUGGGUGUUUUAAUCUUUUAGCAUAAUUUCUUGUUCUCAAGGGUGGUUCUGAUGGUACCCAAACAAAGAGGUCCUCAGAAUAUGCUGCAAAACACAAGUUGCUGGCCAUGGAGAGUCAUCCAAAUAUUAGAAGACAUUCUAGAAUUGGUGGGGGGGAUCAGAUUUAGGACAUAGGACUUUUGUUGUUCCCUCGGCUGUUUUGAGGAAUGCCUUGGCUUUUAGUUAAGAAGGCCACAACUCAUUUUGUUAAUAGAACCCUUAUGUUGAACUGCUUUA
This is a long non-coding RNA of Quercus lobata, 894 nucleotides long. RefSeq lists it as uncharacterized. Lineage: Eukaryota; Viridiplantae; Streptophyta; Magnoliopsida; Fagales; Fagaceae. The transcript is spliced from 2 exons. The record is from RefSeq and is a predicted model, not a curated record.